GAGGUGGGAGAGCCAUCACUGGAGAGGUGGCAUUGGCGCCAGUACUCAGGCCAGAAGCCCCUUGUGCCCUGCUCUCAGAACACAGGCCCCAGACCAGGAAGGCAUUCUGCUAAAGAAGGGGACCCGAAACCUCAGCUACCAGCGCCGAUGGUUCAUCCUCCGAGGAAACCUCCUCUUCUACCUAGAACACUAGACCGACCAUGCACCCCUGAGCCUCAUCCUGUUAGAGAACUGCCAGGUGGAACCACACCUUAAGGCUGCAGAACCCUAUGCCUUUACCAUCCUGACCCCUGGGGUGGAGGGCACAGGUGGGCGGGCCUACAAGCUGGCUGCAGAAACCCAGGAAGAGCUGGAGACUUGGCUGUGGG
RNAcentral lists this long non-coding RNA (368 nucleotides) under Homo sapiens (human). RNAcentral's name for it is "non-protein coding lnc-MYLPF-1:11". The record is from RNAcentral. Lineage: Eukaryota; Metazoa; Chordata; Mammalia; Primates; Hominidae.